UACAUGUGUGUUUUUCCCCUCUGCCAGCUGUUAUGAAAAUAGUUCAUUCUUAUGUCCUAGCAUCCUGACAGUUGAGGUGUGUGUGGGUGUGUGUGUGUGUGUGUGUGUGUGUGUGUGUGUGUGUGUGUGUGUGUGUGUGUGUGUGUACAUGUGUGUUUUUCCCCUCUGCUCAGCUAAGAAAGGUUUUUGCUGUAAACCAUAUCCAUUUCUUAUCAGUUGGCCUUUCUUAGAAAAAAGCAGUCUUAUGUGAAGUUCAAGAAACAUUUAGUGAGUGCCUUGGAUUUGCUGGAGAUUAAGAGAUGAGAGUCUCUGCCUGCAGAACAGUAUUUUACGUUAAUACAAUGAGUCAGGGAUAGCAGGGCAUUAUAAUGUUCUAUUUAAUGUCUUAAAGUAGCUCUUAAAAUAGCUACCUGCUCCCUUAGCUGCUAUUUUCUUUACAUUUCAGAACCUAUUUCCUUUUACCUAUUUUUUAACUGGUUUUCCUCCCUCCAAUUACCAAUUUGUGGAAAAAUAACAUUAGUCAAAGCUGACUAAAGAUUUUGUUUUUAACAGUGUCACUUCUAACUUGAUUAUUGAGUGAGAGAUAGAUAAAAUCAACCCAAAUUUGGGCCUUCUCAGGAUGUUCAGUGUUAAAGAAUCCUCUUCCAAUGCAGGAGAUGCAAGAAAUGCAGGUUCGAUCCCUGGGUCAGGAAGAUCCUCUGGCGUAGAAAAUGGCUUAAUUUGUAGCCCAGAAGCCCAUGUGGCUGAAGGUCGAAAACUAUUGCUGUUCAUGAUCUUGGGCUUUUCAGGAAUCCAUCCUGAUUUUUCCGCAGUUUUCCUUGGUCUACUGACCAGAACUUAAUGUAGUGUAGGAAUGAGGGAUUGGAACAUGGAUUGAACAGAUAUCUGUCUCUAUGAUCUACAUCUGUGGCUUUUAAUACAUCUCAGUCUUGUGUUGAAAGUUUUCUUAGUGAGACUUUGUAGAUAAUUGCUAUAUUUUGCUUGUGAUCAGUUAUUUUUCUAUGUUCACAGGUAGUCAGUUUGUCCUAUAUUAUGAAAAGUAAAUCAUCAAAUUUAAAUGCAGGAGGCUUUUGUAUUUCAUCAUAGGUUAAAUUUUAUCUUCUCUUUCACUAGCAACCGCAUCUGAUAAAAUUUAUCUCAGUAGAUUUUUUUUUUUUUUAGGAUUGUGUCUUUUUUUUUUCCUUUAUCUGAUUCAU
This is a long non-coding RNA of Cervus elaphus (red deer), 1196 nucleotides long. RefSeq lists it as uncharacterized. The transcript has 2 exons. Lineage: Eukaryota; Metazoa; Chordata; Mammalia; Artiodactyla; Cervidae. The record is from RefSeq and is a predicted model, not a curated record.